GAGUUUGAUCUUGGCUCAGAUUGAACGCUGGCGGCAUGCCUUACACAUGCAAGUCGAACGGCAGCACGGGAGCUUGCUCCUGGUGGCGAGUGGCGAACGGGUGAGUAAUGCAUCGGAACGUAUCCUGGAGUGGGGGAUAACGUAGCGAAAGUUACGCUAAUACCGCAUAUUCUGUGAGCAGGAAAGCGGGGGACCUUCGGGCCUCGCGCUCUUGGAGCGGCCGAUGUCGGAUUAGCUAGUUGGUGAGGUAAAGGCUCACCAAGGCGACGAUCCGUAGCAGGUCUGAGAGGAUGAUCUGCCACACUGGAACUGAGACACGGUCCAGACUCCUACGGGAGGCAGCAGUGGGGAAUUUUGGACAAUGGGGGCAACCCUGAUCCAGCCAUGCCGCGUGAGUGAAGGAGGCCUUCGGUUGUAAGACGUCUCUCGCGA
This 432-nucleotide ribosomal RNA is filed under the name bacterium enrichment culture clone ALO1_GLFRUDD03FSJFZ. Its description in RNAcentral is "bacterial SSU rRNA". It matches the Rfam family "Bacterial small subunit ribosomal RNA", at positions 9 to 441 of the family's 1533-position model. The record is from RNAcentral.